RNAcentral lists this ribosomal RNA (420 nucleotides) under uncultured bacterium. RNAcentral describes it as "bacterial SSU rRNA". It matches the Rfam family "Bacterial small subunit ribosomal RNA", at positions 356 to 773 of the family's 1533-position model. The record is from RNAcentral.
AGAGAAUAUUGGACAAUGGACGCAAGUCUGAUCCAGCCAUCCCGCGUGCAGGAUUAAGGCCCUCUGGGUUGUAAACUGCUUUUAUUAGAGAAGAAAACCUCAGAUUUAUCUGAACUUGACGGUAUCUAAUGAAUAAGCACCGGCUAACUCCGUGCCAGCAGCCGCGGUAAUACGGAGGGUGCAAGCGUUAUCCGGAUUUACUGGGUUUAAAGGGUGCGCAGGCGGUAAUUUAAGUCAGUGGUGAAAGCCUACAGCUCAACUGUAGAACUGCCAUUGAAACUGAAAUACUUGAGUGUGGUAGAGGUAGGCGGAAUACAACAUGUAGCGGUGAAAUGCAUAGAUAUGUUGUAGAACACCGAUUGCGAAGGCAGCUUACUAAACCAUUACUGACGCUCAUGCACGAAAGCGUGGGGAGCGAAC